This 90-nucleotide ribosomal RNA is filed under the name Streptomyces niveus. RNAcentral describes it as "partial 16S ribosomal RNA". It matches the Rfam family "Bacterial small subunit ribosomal RNA", at positions 1 to 95 of the family's 1533-position model. RNAcentral also lists the same sequence under 3 other names. The record is from RNAcentral. Lineage: Bacteria; Bacillati; Actinomycetota; Actinomycetes; Kitasatosporales; Streptomycetaceae.
UUCACGGAGAGUUUGAUCCUGGCUCAGGACGAACGCUGGCGGCGUGCUUAACACAUGCAAGUCGAACGAUGAAGCCUUCGGGUGGAUUAG